AGGUGUGUUUAAUUGGGGUUGGAGCUAAACUCUUCAGGACACCGGCCCUCCAGGACUGAGUUUGGACACCCCUGCUUUAGUCCAAGGUGAGGUAUUGUGUGUGUGUGUGUGUGGGUGUGUGUGUGUGUGUGGGUGUGUGUGUGUGUGUGUGUGUGUGUACGUACGUACGUACGUACUGGUAAUCACUAGCGUGUGACCUUGGCUUGUGGGGACAUUUUUUUAAGGUCCCGGCAUGAGGAAACAAGCUUAUAAAUCAUACAGAAUUAAAUGUUUUGAAAAUCUAAAAAUGCAGUACAGUAGAAAAACCAUUACGCCUAACUCAUAAUGAUAGGAAUACCUGUGUUUGUGUGUGUGUAGUUGGUGGUCUGGUGACGUGGCUCGGUGAGUGAAUUCCGCGCAUUUUUCCCUUGAGCUCCAGAUCUACAGCAGAUUCACAGAAUAAAAGCGGAGUAGGCCUAGAUCCGUUUGAACAUCAUCAUCCUACACCUCCACAUCCAUUGACCCUGUGUUUGUGUCGCUGUCUGCAUGAGGAAUGGCCGGCAGAGACGUGCUGAAGGCGGAUGAAGGUCUGAUGAUGAUGCAGAAGCUGGAGGACAUACUCGAGGAGCACACGGAUAAACUGGAGCAUGUGCGUCUGGCCUCCGUGGACCUGAGAGAUGCUCUGUCAGGGAAUAAUGACGAUAUGCAGCAGUGCAUCUCUGAACACAUGGAGUGGCUCGCACAGCUGACCGAUCGCGUGGACACACUGCAGAUGAACACUGCCGUCUUUGUACAGAUGAAUGCCAAACCGCGCAGCUUUCGGGUCAAACAGCAGGGGCUCAGAAGCGCUGGCCGCUGGGGCCGCUGUCAUGUGACCGAUGAUGCCCAAUCAGAGUACGGCUGGUCUCCCGUCUGUACCAGACGCAACAGUGAUGUGGCGUCUGAGAUGUCGUGUGCGUGGUAGAAACACUCACAUCAUGAGCAGCAUUACUGUUCCUCGUCCAAAACUGACCACUGUAACGGCAGCCUACUGUUUGAGUAUUUCAUAUAGUUUGAAAUAAGUGUAAUAAAAAGUGUUUGUUGUUCCAAACCUUUGUGACUUUUUCUUCUUUAGAACAUAAAGCAUUUUU
This 1109-nucleotide long non-coding RNA is filed under the name Sinocyclocheilus anshuiensis. RNAcentral describes it as "lncRNA (ENSSANG00000015742.1)". The record is from RNAcentral. Lineage: Eukaryota; Metazoa; Chordata; Actinopteri; Cypriniformes; Cyprinidae.